AUACUUACCUGGUAGGGAAGAUAACAUGAUCACAAAGGUGGUUUUCCUAGGGUGAGCUUAUCCAUGGCACUCUGGAUGUGCUGACUCCUGUGAUUUUGUCAAAUGUGGGAAAUUCGACUGCACAAUUUGUGGUAGUGGGGGACUGCGUUCACACUCUCCCUUG
RNAcentral lists this small nuclear RNA (163 nucleotides) under Carlito syrichta (Philippine tarsier). RNAcentral describes it as "U1 spliceosomal RNA (ENSTSYG00000034025.1)". It matches the Rfam family "U1 spliceosomal RNA". From Rfam's summary of the family: U1 is a small nuclear RNA (snRNA) component of the spliceosome (involved in pre-mRNA splicing). Its 5' end forms complementary base pairs with the 5' splice junction, thus defining the 5' donor site of an intron. The record is from Rfam by way of RNAcentral. Lineage: Eukaryota; Metazoa; Chordata; Mammalia; Primates; Tarsiidae.